CCUACGGGAGGCAGCAGUGGGGAAUUUUGCGCAAUGCUCGUAAGAGUGACGCAGCGACGCCGCGUGAAUGACGAAGGCCUUCGGGUCGUAAAGUGCUGUCGACAGGGAAGAAAAUGCCUAUAAGGAACUGUGUGUGUAUUGACGGUACCUGGAUAGGCAACGACGGCUAACUCUGUGCCAGCAGCCGCGGUAAUACGGAGGAUGCGAGCGUUAUCCGGAUUUAUUGGGUGUAAAGGGUGCGCAGGCGGAAGAUCAAGUCAGCGGUAAAAUUGAGGGGCUCAACCUCUGCGAGCCUUUGAUACUGGCUUUCUUGAGUGAGUGAGAAGUAUGCGGAAUGCGUGGUGUAGCGGUGAAAUGCAUAGAUAUCACGCAGAACUCCGAAUGCGAAGGCAGCAUACUGGCGCUAAACUGACGCUGAUGCACGAAAGCGUGGGUAUCGAACAGGAUUAGAUACCCUUGUAGUC
This 464-nucleotide ribosomal RNA is filed under the name uncultured bacterium. RNAcentral describes it as "partial 16S ribosomal RNA". It matches the Rfam family "Bacterial small subunit ribosomal RNA", at positions 338 to 795 of the family's 1533-position model. The record is from RNAcentral.